UUGUGGUUCAUGACUGGGGUGAAGUCGUAACAAGGUAGCCCUAGGGGAACCUGGGGCUGGAUCACCUCCUUA
Molecule: ribosomal RNA, 72 nt
Filed under: Shewanella putrefaciens
Lineage: Bacteria; Pseudomonadati; Pseudomonadota; Gammaproteobacteria; Alteromonadales; Shewanellaceae
Also listed under: 6 other names
Description: partial 16S ribosomal RNA
Rfam family: Bacterial small subunit ribosomal RNA
Source: RNAcentral